This 253-nucleotide ribosomal RNA is filed under the name uncultured bacterium. RNAcentral describes it as "partial 16S ribosomal RNA". It matches the Rfam family "Bacterial small subunit ribosomal RNA", at positions 524 to 776 of the family's 1533-position model. The record is from RNAcentral.
UACGGAGGGUGCAAGCGUUAAUCGGAAUUACUGGGCGUAAAGCGCACGCAGGUGGCUGAGUCAGUCGAUUGUGAAAGCCCUGGGCUUAACCUGGGAAUUGCAGUCGAUACUACUCAGCUAGAGUAUGGGAGAGGGUAGUGGAAUUCCCGGUGUAGCGGUGAAAUGCGUAGAUAUCGGGAAGAACAUCAGUGGCGAAGGCGGCUACCUGGCCCAAUACUGACACUCAGGUGCGACAGCGUGGGGAGCAAACAGG